RNAcentral lists this ribosomal RNA (251 nucleotides) under uncultured bacterium. RNAcentral describes it as "partial 16S ribosomal RNA". It matches the Rfam family "Bacterial small subunit ribosomal RNA", at positions 525 to 775 of the family's 1533-position model. The record is from RNAcentral.
ACGUAGGGGGCAAGCGUUAUCCGGAUUUACUGGGUGUAAAGGGAGCGUAGACGGAACAGCAAGUCUGAUGUGAAAACCCGGGGCUCAACCCCGGGACUGCAUUGGAAACUGUUGAUCUAGAGUGUCGGAGAGGUAAGUGGAAUUCCUAGUGUAGCGGUGAAAUGCGUAGAUAUUAGGAGGAACACCAGUGGCGAAGGCGGCUUACUGGACGAUGACUGACGUUGAGGCUCGAAAGCGUGGGGAGCAAACAG